UGGGGAAUAUUGGACAAUGGGCGAAAGCCUGAUCCAGCCAUGCCGCGUGUGUGAAGAAGGCCUUUUGGUUGUAAAGCACUUUAAGCGAGGAGGAGGCUACUUGGAUUUAUACUCUAGGAUAGUGGACGUUACUCGCAGAAUAAGCACCGGCUAACUCUGUGCCAGCAGCCGCGGUAAUACAGAGGGUGCGAGCGUUAAUCGGAUUUACUGGGCGUAAAGCGUGCGUAGGCGGCUUUUUAAGUCGGAUGUGAAAUCCCUGAGCUUAACUUAGGAAUUGCAUUCGAUACUGGGAAGCUAGAGUAUGGGAGAGGAUGGUAGAAUUCCAGGUGUAGCGGUGAAAUGCGUAGAGAUCUGGAGGAAUACCGAUGGCGAAGGCAGCCAUCUGGCCUAAUACUGACGCUGAGGUACGAAAGCAUGGGGAGCAAACAGG
Molecule: ribosomal RNA, 430 nt
Filed under: Acidobacteriota bacterium
Lineage: Bacteria; Pseudomonadati; Acidobacteriota
Description: Acidobacteria bacterium partial 16S ribosomal RNA
Rfam family: Bacterial small subunit ribosomal RNA
Source: RNAcentral